This 505-nucleotide ribosomal RNA is filed under the name uncultured bacterium. RNAcentral's name for it is "partial 16S ribosomal RNA". It matches the Rfam family "Bacterial small subunit ribosomal RNA", at positions 28 to 507 of the family's 1533-position model. The record is from RNAcentral.
GACGAACGCUGGCGGCGUGCCUAAUACAUGCAAGUAGAACGCACAGUUUAUACCGUAGCUUGCUACACCAUAGACUGUGAGUUGCGAACGGGUGAGGAACGCGUAGGUAACCUGCCUGGUAGCGGGGGAUAACUAUUGGAAACGAUAGCUAAUACCGCAUAAUAUUAAUUAUUGCAUGAUAAUUAAUUGAAAGGUGCAAUUGCACCACUACCAGAUGGACCUGCGUUGUAUUAGCUAGUAGGUGAGGUAACGGCUCACCUAGGCGACGAUACAUAGCCGACCUGAGAGGGUGAUCGGCCACACUGGGACUGAGACACGGCCCAGACUCCUACGGGAGGCAGCAGUAGGGCAUCUUCGGCAAUGGACGAAAGUCUGACCGAGCAACGCCGCGUGAGUGAAGAAGGUUUUCGGAUCGUAAAGCUCUGUUGUAAGAGAAGAACGGGUGUGAGAGUGGAAAGUUCACACUGUGACGGUAUCUUACCAGAAAGGGACGGCUAACUACGUG